UGCAAUGCAAACAACCCUCACCACCCCAUGCACCACCGCCUGGAACUUCUAAGAAGGAUGUCAUCAGGCCCCAGUACUGUGGCGGUGGACUUCUGGUCCGGAGAACUGUGGGAAAUGAGUUUCUAUUUUUAGCACCUGUCCUCUUCUGUUAUAGCAACAGAGACCAACCGAAACAGAGUUUCAACUAACGACCUUAUCUUCAAACUGGAAACAGAGUUUCAACAAACGACCGUGUCUUCAAACUGGAGGAAACAUGAACAGUAUAUGCUUUCCAGAGAUGUUGCUGUCAUCAAAAAUGGAGAAAGGAGAAAGAGAAGGACCUACUCCAGGCUGAAUGGGGCCAAGGAGGUGUGACAACUAAGUGUGCAUCGCUCCUAGAUCUGAGAGGCUUGUCCAUUUUAUGGCUGCUGAGAACUGACUGAUGACGCUCCCUUCCCUGUAGAUGCAUUAGACUCUCGUCAGAAAGGGUGCUGACUGGAGGGGCACCUCACCACGCAUGUCCUACGUCGUAAUUCUCAAUAGCUGCAGCCCCAGCCCCGCUCACUGCUUUCCGUAGUGUGGCCAUUCUGACUCUGUAGCUCCAGCGUAGGAAACAAAGUCUUGUCUGUGCAUGAAUCCAGCUGAACACAUCUGGUCCAUGUUGGUCAACUUGAAUAAAAGCCCUAGGCCUGCAUCACUGGCUUGUAACUCCGCUCAGUGGAAUACAUCUCAGCAAGUCUA
This is a long non-coding RNA of Rattus norvegicus (Norway rat), 720 nucleotides long. RefSeq lists it as uncharacterized. Lineage: Eukaryota; Metazoa; Chordata; Mammalia; Rodentia; Muridae. The record is from RefSeq and is a predicted model, not a curated record.